Molecule: ribosomal RNA, 468 nt
Filed under: uncultured bacterium
Lineage: Bacteria
Description: partial 16S ribosomal RNA
Rfam family: Bacterial small subunit ribosomal RNA
Source: RNAcentral
GACGAACGCUGGCGGCGUGCUUAACACAUGCAAGUCGAACGGAAAGGCCCUGCUUUUGUGGGGUGCUCGAGUGGCGAACGGGUGAGUAACACGUGAGUAACCUGCCCUUGACUUUGGGAUAACUUCAGGAAACUGGGGCUAAUACCGGAUAGGAGCUCCUGCUGCAUGGUGGGGGUUGGAAAGUUUCGGCGGUUGGGGAUGGACUCGCGGCUUAUCAGCUUGUUGGUGGGGUAGUGGCUUACCAAGGGUUUGACGGGUAGCCGGACUGAGAGGGUGACCGGCCACAUUGGGACUGAGAUACGGCCCAGACUCCUACGGGAGGCAGCAGUUGGGAAUAUUGCACAAUGGGCGGAAGCCUGAUGCAGCAACGCCGCGUGCGGGAUGACGGCCUUCGGGUUGUAAACCGCUUUCGCCUGUGACGAAGCGUGAGUGACGGUAAUGGGUAAAGAAGCACCGGCUAACUACGUG